Cynoglossus semilaevis (tongue sole) is the source of this 2377-nucleotide long non-coding RNA. RefSeq lists it as uncharacterized. The transcript has 6 exons. NCBI's taxonomy places the organism in Eukaryota, Metazoa, Chordata, Actinopteri, Pleuronectiformes, Cynoglossidae. The record is from RefSeq and is a predicted model, not a curated record.
UGCUCCUGCUGCUCCUGCUGCUGCUGCUGCUGCACUGUGUACUGAAGAAGGCUUCACUUCAACUGUACAACUGCAGACAGUAACAGGUCAAAGACCAGCCUACGACGUGCAGCAGCGGCUGCUCCGUUCUCUGUGGUAUGAAGACCAUCAACAUCAUUCCAGUGGAUAAGAUGUGAAACACGGAGUUCCUCUUAUGACUGCUGCAUCACCACUGCAGGUACUAAUUGACAGCUCAUCUUACUAGGUCAAAGAAGUGAAGUAUUAGACCAGACCACGGCAAACGACUGUGGGACACAUACGGCCUGCUGGCCUAUCCAGUCCGGCUAUAGUUCAGAUACUGUAUCGUGGAUUCGGAUCACUUGAGGAUCCUAUUCAGAACUGGUUGUCUCUGAUUCCUAAGCCUCCCAAUGUUCUGAGCUACAGAGCCAGGCUGGGGGCCUGGAGUGUGUGCUUUAGAGAGAGAGAAACAGACAGUGUUGGAGAAUGACCUUGUUGUGAGUGUCCUGGAGGAGCUGGACGAUGUUCGACUGAUGAUGGAGAGGCUCCUACCUCAUUUCUUCACUGGAGUCCAGAUAAGUUGGACACAUUUAAAGUUUAACAUUAGAGUAAAAUUUCCAUUCUUUUUUUUAUUGAACAAUCAUAAAAAUUAUACAUAUAAAACAGAGCUAAACAAUACAUAAUAGUAAUGAAUAAUAAUAGUUAAUAAUACUAAUUAGAAUAUAUAUCGAAAGAGUGAUGAGGAUGUGACUCCUGUGGGGUUCGACUGUGAGUCUCUGGUUCUGGUGCUAAAAAUAAGAUACAUUUGCAUCACAUAAUUUUUCUGCAAACAUAUGAUCAUUUAAAAAAUAAAAACUCAGCGAAGUAGGUGUUGGAAUUAGGUCACUAAGGUCAUAUGUGAGAAUAAAAGAAAAAAAAAACAAAUUUCAGCAACAUAAGUUUCAUCCUAAAUAUGUAAGAACAACAACCUUUUGGAUCCCUGCCGUGGAUCACACAGAGUACCUGGCACUGCUAGUGUUAUUUGGAGUACAUCUGAAGCUGUAGUCUUCAAAUGUACUUGUUUUUCUCCCUUGUCAAACACAAUCACCUGCGACAUAUCAGGACACACAGAUUCUCUGAAACUCCUGGCGAAUGAAUCAAAGCAGCUCUGUCCAGAAAAGGCAUUUCUCUGUGAUGUGUUUGGACAGACCAUUACACAGGCUAACAGACGCUGAUAGCAGCUGAUGCUAAGUUUACACACAGUGUUCAGCAGCGUGUCUGACAGCAGCAGGUCAACAUUAGAGCAGGUUGGGUUUUUUUAGCUCCAUCUCUCCAUCUGAUCAAACUCCACCAGGUUUCUGGCCCAGUGUAAUAAAUUCCUCCUGACAGCCUCCACUGACGGUCUGUAAACAGGGUCUGUGAGCCCCGUCUCACCGCGUUAUCUUCACCACCACCAGCUGAUAACAGACCAAAGUCUUCAAAGUCAGGACACGAGAUCCACAACUAUUUAAUCAGGAGCUUUUCUCUGGGCCUCUGGUGAUACGCUCUGAAGACACACAUUCGAGUGUUUGUGUGUGGUUUUGGGGGGGGGGGCUCAUGUUUGUUUAGGCUGCCUGUCUGUUUCACUGGCCCUGGCUCAGAACCAUAGGGGUAUAAUUCUGUGGUGAGACCACCAACCUUCUAGGUUUCUCCGUCUCAGACCCUGGGGUCUUGACAUAUCGUCCAGAUUUAAGAAUGUUGACGAAGGUCAUUUUUCAUCACCUACUUUGGAGACCACUGCUGUUACACCCACCUGUGGGGUCUAAGGAUGACCCCCUUUGUUUCUUUGGUCAGAAUGACCUCAAGGACAACACAAGGGUGAAGCUCUUUGUGGCUCAGAUGGUUUUUUUUUUUGACAGUAUAAAUUAAGAGGAAAAGUCUUCUUUUUCCAUAGAGCUUCGUUAAAGUUGUCUUCUUCCUGCCAUCAGUAGCGUCACUCCCUGGUGGCCAACUACUGCUCCUGUCCUACUUUCAUGCUUCCCUUUUUAAACCAUGGACUUUCUUCAUGUUACAUGCAGCCCAUCUCUGCUCCAUUGAUUUCCACAGCUGUGAUAAUCAAACCUCCGUCCUCCAUCAGUCAAGUGGAGAUUCUAAAAAUGAUCUUUUUUUCCUAAUCCCACAGAAACAGAAGAUGUUGGAGCAUCACUCAAUUUUAUUUAUUCCUUGGAUCCUGAAUUCCACGACAGGGAGAAGAGGAAAAGGGAAAAGGUCCAGGAUGAUUACAGACUACAGUCUUCACUGCAUGAAUGGCAUCAGGAGUGAAGACGGUGGAAUGAACCAACCAGUCAAGUCGAAGGACUCAACUGGACAUGAAGACAAAACAAAGCUGAUGACCAACAACAUCAAUGGCAUCAAGAUAAAC